Molecule: transfer RNA, 69 nt
Filed under: Ochotona thibetana sacraria
Lineage: Eukaryota; Metazoa; Chordata; Mammalia; Lagomorpha; Ochotonidae
Description: tRNA-His
Rfam family: tRNA
About the family: Transfer RNA (tRNA) molecules are approximately 80 nucleotides in length.
Source: RNAcentral
GUAGAUAUAGUUUAAACAAAACUCUAAAUUGUGAAUUUAGAAAUAGAGACUCAUACCCUCUUAUCUACC